AACAGGAUUAGAUACCCUGGUAGUCCACGCCGUAACCGAUGGAUACUAGGUGUAGGAGGUAUCGACCCCUUCUGUGCCGGAGUUAACACAAUAAGUAUCCCACCUGGGGAGUACGAUCGCAAGAUUGAAACUCAAAGGAAUUGACGGGGGCCCGCACAAGCAGUGGAGUAUGUGGUUUAAUUCGAAGCAACGCGAAGAACCUUACCAGGGUUUGACAUCCCUCUGACGAUACUAGAGAUAGUAUUUUCCUUUUGGACAGAGGUGACAGGUGGUGCAUGGUUGUCGUCAGCUCGUGUCGUGAGAUGUUGGGUUAAGUCCCGCAACGAGCGCAACCCUUAUUGUUAGUUGCCAGCAUGUAAGAUGGGCACUCUAGCGAGACUGCCGGCGACAAGUCGGAGGAAGGUGGGGACGACGUCAAAUCAUCAUGCCCCUUAUAUCCUGGGCUACACACGUACUACAAUGGCUACAACAGACGGGAAGCGAAGCAGCGAUGUGGAGCCAAUCCCCAAAAGUAGUCCCAGUUCGGAUUGUAGGCUGCAACUCGCCUACAUGAAGUCGGAAUUGCUAGUAAUCGCGUAUCAGCAUACCACGGGCAGUAAGUUCCCGGGCCUCGUA
RNAcentral lists this ribosomal RNA (615 nucleotides) under uncultured organism. RNAcentral's name for it is "bacterial SSU rRNA". It matches the Rfam family "Bacterial small subunit ribosomal RNA", at positions 771 to 1385 of the family's 1533-position model. The record is from RNAcentral.